AUUGAACGCUGGCGGCAUGCCUUACACAUGCCAGUCGAACGGUAACGGGCCUUCGGGUGCCGACGAGUGGCGAACGGGUGCGUAAUACAUCGGAACGUGCCCGAUCGUGGGGGAUAACGGGGCGAAAGCUUUGCUAAUAUCGCCUACGAUCUCCGGAUGAAAGCAGGGGACCGCAAGGCCUUGCGCGGACGGAGCGGCCGAUGGCAGAUUAGGUAGUUGGUGGGAUAAAAGCUUACCAAGCCGACGAUCUGUAGCUGGUCUGAGAGGAUGAUCAGCCACACUGGGACUGAGACACGGCCCAGACUCCUACGGGAGGCAGCAGUGGGGAAUUUUGGACAAUGGGCGCAAGCCUGAUCCAGCCAUGCCGCGUGCAGGAUGAAGGCCUUCGGGUUGUAAACUGCUUUUGUACGGAACGAAAAGCCUUCUUUUAAUACAGGAGGGUCAUGACGGUACCGUAAGAAUAAGCACCGGCUAACUACGUG
This 482-nucleotide ribosomal RNA is filed under the name uncultured bacterium. Its description in RNAcentral is "partial 16S ribosomal RNA". It matches the Rfam family "Bacterial small subunit ribosomal RNA", at positions 30 to 507 of the family's 1533-position model. The record is from RNAcentral.